CAGAGAAUAGUUUAAUGGAAAAUGCCACCUUUGGGAAUUGGAGAUAGAGGUUUAAGUCCUUUUUUUCUGA
This is a non-coding RNA of Calypte anna (Anna's hummingbird), 70 nucleotides long. The record is from Rfam. NCBI's taxonomy places the organism in Eukaryota, Metazoa, Chordata, Aves, Apodiformes, Trochilidae.